UACGGAGGGGGCUAGCGUUGUUCGGAAUUACUGGGCGUAAAGCGCGCGUAGGCGGCCAUUUAAGUCAGAGGUGAAAGCCCGGUGCUCAACAUCGGAAUUGCCUUUGAGACUGGGUGGCUAGAAUCCAGGAGAGGUGAGUGGAAUUCCGAGUGUAGAGGUGAAAUUCGUAGAUAUUCGGAAGAACACCAGUGGCGAAGGCGGCUCACUGGACUGGUAUUGACGCUGAGGUGCGAAAGCGUGGGGAGCAAAC
RNAcentral lists this ribosomal RNA (250 nucleotides) under uncultured Sphingobium sp. Its description in RNAcentral is "partial 16S ribosomal RNA". It matches the Rfam family "Bacterial small subunit ribosomal RNA", at positions 524 to 773 of the family's 1533-position model. Lineage: Bacteria; Pseudomonadati; Pseudomonadota; Alphaproteobacteria; Sphingomonadales; Sphingobiaceae. The record is from RNAcentral.